AUGGAGGUGAUGAAUUUUUCCCCAGAUGAUUCGAAGCUGAAAUUACUGAGCGCAAUUUUUGUUUUUCUCCCUUUAUUGCGGAGAAAAUCCAAGCCAAAUUUCUGAUCCUU
RNAcentral lists this small nucleolar RNA (110 nucleotides) under Erythranthe guttata (spotted monkey flower). RNAcentral's name for it is "Mimulus guttatus (spotted monkey flower) Small nucleolar RNA Z103". It matches the Rfam family "Small nucleolar RNA Z103". Rfam says of the family: This family consists of several snoRNA Z103 sequences which are members of the C/D class of snoRNA which contain the C (UGAUGA) and D (CUGA) box motifs. This family seems to be found exclusively in plants. Lineage: Eukaryota; Viridiplantae; Streptophyta; Magnoliopsida; Lamiales; Phrymaceae. The record is from Rfam by way of RNAcentral.